AGAGUUUGAUCCUGGCUCAGGAUGAACGCUGGCGGCGUGCCUAAUACAUGCAAGUCGAGCGAACAGAUAAGGAGCUUGCUCCUUUGAAGUUAGCGGCGGACGGGUGAGUAACACGUGGGUAACCUACCUAUAAGACUGGGAUAACUUCGGGAAACCGGAGCUAAUACCGGAUAACAUUUAGAACCGCAUGGUUCUAAAGUGAAAGAUGGUUUUGCUAUCACUUAUAGAUGGACCCGCGCCGUAUUAGCUAGUUGGUAAGGUAACGGCUUACCAAGGCGACGAUACGUAGCCGACCUGAGAGGGUGAUCGGCCACACUGGAACUGAGACACGGUCCAGACUCCUACGGGAGGCAGCAGUAGGGAAUCUUCCGCAAUGGGCGAAAGCCUGACGGAGCAACGCCGCGUGAGUGAUGAAGGGUUUCGGCUCGUAAAACUCUGUUAUUAGGGAAGAACAAAUGUGUAAGUAACUGUGCACAUCUUGACGGUACCUAAUCAGAAGGCCACGGCUAACUACGUG
This 517-nucleotide ribosomal RNA is filed under the name uncultured Staphylococcus sp. Its description in RNAcentral is "bacterial SSU rRNA". It matches the Rfam family "Bacterial small subunit ribosomal RNA", at positions 8 to 507 of the family's 1533-position model. The record is from RNAcentral. Lineage: Bacteria; Bacillati; Bacillota; Bacilli; Caryophanales; Staphylococcaceae.